Molecule: unclassified non-coding RNA, 1994 nt
Filed under: Schistocerca americana (American grasshopper)
Lineage: Eukaryota; Metazoa; Arthropoda; Insecta; Orthoptera; Acrididae
Description: longitudinals lacking protein, isoforms H/M/V-like, transcript variant X15
Source: RNAcentral
ACUGCUCAAACGAACAUGUACUAUUCAAUUUUAUGAUGUUCGAUCCCAUGGAACAAUCGAUAUUUUCGAUUGUUUAUGUGGUUGUACCGAUUGCCACUCCGUGUGUUUAUAGGUGGGAGAGUUCGAUUGGUAGUUCGAGCCAGUACGAUCACAGAAAGGGCUGGGUUGAGAAGUUUCAGCAUUGAACAGAAGAUGUUUUUGACGUUUCGACGCCGGUAUCAUUUUAUUCUAUUUUUUCUCAAAACGACGUAUCAACAGAAUGGAUUCAUAAUUCAACUAACAACUUUUGAUGAUGUGAUGAAGACCAAUGGAAUGUUGAGACAUCAUUUUCCUAUUUAAGUGCAAGUUUUUGAUGUAAUUGUUUCACGUAGUGAAAGAGAUGUAGCUAAAUAAGUAUUUCGAACUAAUUUUCUAAGCAUUUUAUAUUAUUAAACAACGUCUUGGCAAAAAUUGUUGUACACUAGAGAUAAAACGAAUGAAGGACACUGGCUUAAAGAGACUGGUUUUAAUUUUGGGCUGGGUGGAGGCUUCAGUCUUCAUCUGGCAAUCCUGAUUUAGGUUUACCGUGAUUUCUCGAAAUUACUUUAGGCAAAUGCUGGGAUGGUUACUACUGACGGGCCGCGGCCGACUUCGUGCCCCAUUAUUGUCAAACUAAACGAACUCCUCCUGCAUCAUAAGUUAGAAAAUGGCAGGUUCUGAUGCUGAGCAGUUCUCUCUGAGAUGGAACAACUUUCACAGCAAUCUUGUAUCAGGCUUCCAUGCUCUCCUGCAAGAAGUAGAACUGGUGGAUGUUACCCUUGCAGCUGAGGGACAGUUCAUUCAAGCACAUAAAAUUGUGCUUUCAGUUUGCAGUCCAUAUUUCAAGCAACUAUUUCAGGUAAACCCAUGCAAACAUCCAAUUGUUAUCUUGAAGGAUGUGGGUCACAAAGAACUGAUUGCAAUUCUGCAGUUCAUGUACCAGGGAGAAGUUAACGUUCGUCAGGAAGAACUUGCCGAUUUCUUAAAAACUGCUGAACUCCUGCAGAUCAAAGGCUUAACUGGAAACGAUAAUAAUCGAGAGCCAGAUAGAACACCUUGCACAACUCCUCAACCAUCACCUCAUCGGCAACCAGGAUCUCACAUUCGUGUAUCAGAUGUCAGAUCUGAGGCACACUUAUCAGAAGUGUCACAAGGAUAUCCUUCUGGAAAUGAUGCCAAUAUCGAUCUGGCUUCUGCUGUGAGUGAGGAAAGUGCAUCUCCAGCUCGACCAACCAAACGGCUGCAUAGUGAUGCAUCUGUUAGCUCAAGCACAUUAUCACAUAGGAAGGAACAAAAGGAGGAAGAAUUUGUUCAGAAAAUCCCCAAGGUUGAACCCAUCGAUCUUGACUUGGAUGCAGAAAUAACAAGUGAUCAAAUCUCUCCUGAAGGGCUCCAGCAAUUCCUUACAAAUUCUGGAAAGAGUACACAUCCACAACAAAAUAUUUCAGCAGGUGGAAAUGGAAACAGUACCCCAGCAAUAGCACAGAGUCAGUUGAUUCACCCUUCUUCCAUCUCACGCCAUGGACAGGUGUCUGAAACUUCAGUUGUUUCAGUGCAGAGUGCGAGUCAAGUGUACACAGUGUGUCGUUUCUGUGGCAAGAGGAUACACAAAAACAACCUCAGUAGACACAUUAAGGACCGUCAUUUGCCAAAUGAAGCACGUGAAUGUCAGUACUGCAAUAGAGUGUUCCGCACAGAGAACAGUUUGCAGAGUCAUCUAUCAGUUUACCACAGAUCACAGUACAAGAAAGCAAACACAGGGAUACAGUAAAGCAGUGUAUGGCAGCCAGGUGUAUAAAGGUGGUAGGAGUUCUCUUUCUUUUGACUGUCUUUCAGAUGAACACCUAUGAAGACAAUCCAGCAAUGUUUGCAUGGAAACCAAUGCGGCGACAGGACUUCAGAUGCCCCUUAUGUGAAAAAAAGUUUGUUAAUAAAUCAAAUCUCAACAUUCAUGUGCGUGAUAAACAUGGUGAAGG